CUGCCCUCAAGCACGGCUUGUGUGUUAGGCCCCGUCCUCCGCUCGCGGGGGACGGGCCUGAAAGGCAGCGGCGGCACCGCGUCCGGUCCUCGAGCGUAUGGGGCUUUGUCACCCGCUCUGUAGGCCCGGCCGGCGCCUGCCGAUCAACCACACUUUUAUUCA
RNAcentral lists this unclassified non-coding RNA (162 nucleotides) under Penicillium spathulatum. Its description in RNAcentral is "partial internal transcribed spacer 2". Lineage: Eukaryota; Fungi; Ascomycota; Eurotiomycetes; Eurotiales; Aspergillaceae. The record is from RNAcentral. RNAcentral also lists the same sequence under 1 other name.